UUUGAGGUAAAUAGUGAGUAGCUGACUUGAGGAAGUGAUCAACCCUUGGGAUAAAAUUAAAUUUGCUUCUUUUUACCCCAAUUUUUUUUACCAUGGGUAAAAAGAAUCUUCUUGAGAUAUAAAAAGAACCAGAUUUAGAUUUAGCCCAAUAGUUGAUGAUGUAUUUUCCCCCAAGAAGGCUGCUCAUUAUUUACCCAAG
RNAcentral lists this microRNA precursor (199 nucleotides) under Medicago truncatula (barrel medic). RNAcentral describes it as "MIR2670 microRNA precursor family". It matches the Rfam family "MIR2670 microRNA precursor family". The record is from Rfam by way of RNAcentral. Lineage: Eukaryota; Viridiplantae; Streptophyta; Magnoliopsida; Fabales; Fabaceae.